RNAcentral lists this ribosomal RNA (668 nucleotides) under Phanerochaete sp. JCM 28409. RNAcentral's name for it is "eukaryotic LSU rRNA". The stretch from base 250 to 403 matches the Rfam family "5.8S ribosomal RNA". Lineage: Eukaryota; Fungi; Basidiomycota; Agaricomycetes; Polyporales; Phanerochaetaceae. The record is from RNAcentral.
GGAAGUAAAAGUCGUAACAAGGUUUCCGUAGGUGAACCUGCGGAAGGAUCAUUAACGAGUAACUGAACGGGUUGUUGCUGGCCUCUCGGGGCAUGUGCACGCCUGGCUCAUUCCACUCUUUCAACCUCUGUGCACUUGUGUAGGUCGGUGGAGAGGCAAGUCUUAGGAUUUGCUUGGAAGCCUUCCUAUGUUUUAUUACAAACGCUUCAGUUUAAGAAUGUAAUCUCUGCGUAUAACGCAUCUAUAUACAACUUUCAGCAACGGAUCUCUUGGCUCUCGCAUCGAUGAAGAACGCAGCGAAAUGCGAUAAGUAAUGUGAAUUGCAGAAUUCAGUGAAUCAUCGAAUCUUUGAACGCACCUUGCGCUCCCUGGUAUUCCGGGGAGCAUGCCUGUUUGAGUGUCAUGGUAUUCUCAACCUUCAUAACUUUUUGUUAUCGAAGGCUUGGACUUGGAGGUUGUGCUGGCUACUCGUUUAGUCGGCUCCUCUUAAAUGCAUUAGCGUGAGUGUAACGGAUCGCUUCGGUGUGAUAAUUAUCUGCGCCGUGGCCGUGAAGUAACAUAAGCUUGCGCUUCUAACCGUCCUUCAGUUGGACAAUUUACGUUAUGACAUCUGACCUCAAAUCAGGUAGGACUACCCGCUGAACUUAAGCAUAUCAAUAAGCGGAGGA